GAUGAACGCUGGCGGCGUGCCUAAUACAUGCAAGUCGAGCGAACGGACGAGAAGCUUGCUUCUCUGAUGUUAGCGGCGGACGGGUGAGUAACACGUGGAUAACCUACCUAUAAGACUGGGAUAACUUCGGGAAACCGGAGCUAAUACCGGAUAAUAUUUUGAACCGCAUGGUUCAAAAGUGAAAGACGGUCUUGCUGUCACUUAUAGAUGGAUCCGCGCUGCAUUAGCUAGUUGGUAAGGUAACGGCUUACCAAGGCAACGAUGCAUAGCCGACCUGAGAGGGUGAUCGGCCACACUGGAACUGAGACACGGUCCAGACUCCUACGGGAGGCAGCAGUAGGGAAUCUUCCGCAAUGGGCGAAAGCCUGACGGAGCAACGCCGCGUGAGUGAUGAAGGUCUUCGGAUCGUAAAACUCUGUUAUUAGGGAAGAACAUAUGUGUAAGUAACUGUGCACAUCUUGACGGUACCUAAUCAGAAAGCCACGGCUAACUACGUGCCAGCAGCCGCGGUAAUACGUAGGUGGCAAGCGUUAUCCGGAAUUAUUGGGCGUAAAGCGCGCGUAGGCGGUUUUUUAAGUCUGACGUGAAAGCCCACGGCUCAACCGUGGAGGGUCAUUGGAAACUGGAAAACUUGAGUGCAGAAGAGGAAAGUGGAAUUCCAUGUGUAGCGGUGAAAUGCGCAGAGAUAUGGAGGAACACCAGUGGCGAAGGCGACUUUCUGGUCUGUAACUGACGCUGAUGUGCGAAAGCGUGGGGAUCAAACAGGAUUAGAUACCCUGGUAGUCCACGCCGUAAACGAUGAGUGCUAAGUGUUAGGGGGUUUCCGCCCCCUUAGUGCUGCAGCUAACGCAUUAAGCACUCCGCCUGGGGAGUACGACCGCAAGGUUGAAACUCAAAGGAAUUGACGGGGACCCGCACAAGCGGUGGAGCAUGUGGUUUAAUUCGAAGCAACGCGAAGAACCUUACCAAAUCUUGACAUCCUUUGACAACUCUAGAGAUAGAGCCUUCCCCUUCGGGGGACAAAGUGACAGGUGGUGCAUGGUUGUCGUCAGCUCGUGUCGUGAGAUGUUGGGUUAAGUCCCGCAACGAGCGCAACCCUUAAGCUUAGUUGCCAUCAUUAAGUUGGGCACUCUAAGUUGACUGCCGGUGACAAACCGGAGGAAGGUGGGGAUGACGUCAAAUCAUCAUGCCCCUUAUGAUUUGGGCUACACACGUGCUACAAUGGACAAUACAAAGGGCAGCGAAACCGCGAGGUCAAGCAAAUCCCAUAAAGUUGUUCUCAGUUCGGAUUGUAGUCUGCAACUCGACUACAUGAAGCUGGAAUCGCUAGUAAUCGUAGAUCAGCAUGCUACGGUGAAUACGUUCCCGGGUCU
RNAcentral lists this ribosomal RNA (1373 nucleotides) under uncultured bacterium. Its description in RNAcentral is "bacterial SSU rRNA". It matches the Rfam family "Bacterial small subunit ribosomal RNA", at positions 28 to 1381 of the family's 1533-position model. The record is from RNAcentral.